ACCCGCUGAAUUUAAGCAUAUAAGUAAGUGGUGGAAAUUAAACCAAAUGGGAUUCCUUAAGUAAUUGCGAAUGAACAAGGACAUGCUUAGCUUGACAAAUGGAGCCUUUGGCUUUGACUUGUAUUGUUGAGAUGUAUUACCAACAGAGGUGCAGGUGUGAGCUUAUUGAAAGAAAGCGUCAAUGAGGGUGAGAAUCCUGUUUGUCAUGCGCAAUCCUUUGUGCACGGUAUAUGUUUGCUGAGUCACACUCCUUGGCAUUGGAAUGCAAAGUGGGUGGUAAGUUUCAUGUAAAGGUAAAUAUAGAAUUGAGACUGAUAGCACACAAGUGCCAUGAGGGAAAUAUGAAAAGGACUUUGAAAAGAGAAUUAAAUGAGUUUGUAUUUGCUGAACAGAAAGUAAACAGACUUGAUUUUGCUGGGUGAGAUUGUGGUGCUUGCUUGACAACAGGUGUUGGCUGCAAGUGUGAUGAUUCUUGCUUUGCUUGCCAGUUUCCCUUUGUACAUUUGAUUACCCUUGCACAUGAAUGGUAAUUUUCUUGCGGGGUUUGGAUUGCAUGUGUUUGUGAUGAUUUGUGUUUUGAUGCAUGUGUCUGGUGAAUUUUGAUGGUGCUCACUUCUUUAGGGGGGGGGUUCUCCUCUUUCAGCUUUCAAAUCCUGACACACACUUGCUGGCAAAAUGCUUCUGCUUGACCCGUCUUGAAACACGGACCAAGGAGUCUAACAGAUGUGCAAGCUUGAGGGUUGCAUACCUUUGUGUACAAUGAAAGUGUUGGCUGGGAUAUUUGCACCAGCAGCCGACCGAUUAGCAGACAGAGGUUUGAGUUGGAGCAUAUCUAUUAGGACCCGAAAGAUGGUGAACUAUGCCUGAACAGAAUGAAUUCAGAGGAAACUCUGAUGGAGGUUCGUAUCGAUACUGACGUGCAAAUCGUUCGU
RNAcentral lists this ribosomal RNA (932 nucleotides) under Centrodinium eminens. RNAcentral's name for it is "partial large subunit ribosomal RNA". It matches the Rfam family "Eukaryotic large subunit ribosomal RNA", at positions 23 to 905 of the family's 3401-position model. Lineage: Eukaryota; Dinophyceae; Peridiniales; Ostreopsidaceae. The record is from RNAcentral.